GACAGAGGGUGCAAACGUUGCUCGGAAUUACUGGGCGUAAAGCGCGUGUAGGCGGUUUCGCAAGUCAGGUGUGAAAGCCCAGGGCUCAACCCUGGAAGUGCACAUGAUACUACGGAGCUGGAGUACUGAAGAGGAGAGCGGAAUUCCCGGUGUAGAGGUGAAAUUCGUAGAUAUCGGGAGGAACACCAGUGGCGAAGGCGGCUCUCUGGGCAGAUACUGACGCUGAGACGCGAAAGCGUGGGUAGCAAACAGG
RNAcentral lists this ribosomal RNA (253 nucleotides) under uncultured bacterium. RNAcentral's name for it is "partial 16S ribosomal RNA". It matches the Rfam family "Bacterial small subunit ribosomal RNA", at positions 524 to 776 of the family's 1533-position model. The record is from RNAcentral.